RNAcentral lists this unclassified non-coding RNA (21 nucleotides) under Mus musculus (house mouse). RNAcentral describes it as "oocyte_clustered_small_RNA787". The record is from RNAcentral. Lineage: Eukaryota; Metazoa; Chordata; Mammalia; Rodentia; Muridae.
CGCCUUCCUCCUCAGCCUCAG